Molecule: ribosomal RNA, 340 nt
Filed under: uncultured bacterium
Lineage: Bacteria
Description: bacterial SSU rRNA
Rfam family: Bacterial small subunit ribosomal RNA
Source: RNAcentral
UAGAGUUUGAUCAUGGCUCAGGAAUGAACGCUAGCGGCAGGCCUAAUACAUGCAAGUCGAACGGGUGGUAGCAAUACCACUAGUGGCGCACGGGUGCGUAACGCGUAACCAACCUGCCCUUGACUGGGGGAUAGCCCGCCGAAAGGCGGAUUAAUACCGCAUAAACUCACAGUGUGGCAUCACACAAUGAGUAAAGAUUUAUUGGUCAAGGAUGGGGCUGCGUGACAUUAGCUAGUUGGCGGGGUAACGGCCCACCAAGGCGACNAUNUCUAGGGGAGCUGAGAGGCUGAUCCCCCACACUGGCACUGAGAUACGGGCCAAANUCCUANNGGANGCAGCA